CCCCGCCAGUGGGUAAAAGUAACUUGGCUUUACGAUCCCCGCCAGUGGGUAAUAGUAACUGGAAGAUGAUCCUGCAGUGGUAAAGGCCUUACCGUGGGAAUAAGAGCGGCCAUAGCUACACUACCAUCUGGGAGUAUGAAUUUUGAAGUAUGAAAUAAUGGCAAAAGUUUUAUGAUGCAUAAUUAUAUUUAUGAAGUUGCAUGAAUGGACUUACAUAGUUUUAUGACUGGUUGGAUUAUAUGAAAUGUUUACUUUAUUACAAGCACAGAUUUCAAUGCAUGAAUAAUAACAGCACAUAUUUCAAAGCAUGAAUAAUGAUAAGAAUAAUGAUGAGUACGGAUUUCAAAGCAUGGAAUAAAGACAAAAGGUUUACGUCUG
RNAcentral lists this long non-coding RNA (378 nucleotides) under Phoenix dactylifera (date palm). Its description in RNAcentral is "long non-coding RNA (PDAC_LNC014842)". Lineage: Eukaryota; Viridiplantae; Streptophyta; Magnoliopsida; Arecales; Arecaceae. The record is from RNAcentral.